RNAcentral lists this ribosomal RNA (1950 nucleotides) under Coptotermes gestroi. RNAcentral's name for it is "eukaryotic LSU rRNA". It matches the Rfam family "Eukaryotic large subunit ribosomal RNA", at positions 41 to 2470 of the family's 3401-position model. Lineage: Eukaryota; Metazoa; Arthropoda; Insecta; Blattodea; Rhinotermitidae. The record is from RNAcentral.
UCUCAUUAAGCGGAGGAAAAGAAACUAACAAGGAUUCUCUUAAUAAAGGCGAUCGAAGAGAGAAAAGUUCAACUCCAAAAUCUUUUUUAAAGAUAAUGUGGAGAGAUUUCUAAUAGCGGUGUAAAAGUGGGCAUUGAAUCCCCACAAGAAAGAGUUUAAGUCUCGUUAACACAGCUUUAAUGAUAAUCUAAAUAGAGUAGGGUAGCUUGAGAUUGCUGCCUGAAUAUGGGAGGGAUAUUCCUUCUAAAACUAAAUAUUGUAAGUAGACCGAUAGAGGAUAAGUAGCGUGAGCGAACGAUGCAAAGAACUCUAAAGAGGAGAGUGUAAAGAGCCUGAAAUUGUCUAGGCUAAUCUAUUUUGAUAGGCCCGUCUUGUAACACGGAUCGAGGAGUUUAUCAUAUGUGCGAGCUUUUUAUUUUGAAAAGCGUAGAGAAAGCGACUGGUAAUAUGGCGAACGAGCAUAUAUGAUAGAACCCGAAAGGAGGUGAACUAUUCCAGUGUAUGGUGAAGCCAGGGGAAACUCUGGUGGAAGCCAGAAGCAAUACUGAUGUGCAAAUCGUUUGUCAAACAUUGGUAUAGGUGCGAAAGACUCAUCGAACCUCCUAAUAGCUGGUUUCAUCCGAAGUUUCCCUCAGGAUAGCCGCGACAAAACUAGAUGGGGAAGGUAGAGCACUGGGUAGAAGUGUAGGGAUGCUUCGGUGUCUCAACUUAUUUCCAAACUCCGAAUAUUCCCGAUUUAUUUAUCUACAAAAUAUGAGAUGAAUAAUAAUUCAUAAUUAGUUGUCGUGAGUGGGCUUGUACCGGUAAGCGGUUCAGGCGAUAAGGGAUUAACCUUCUGUGAAGUUAAGGUUCCUAAAGUACUAUCAUUAAUACCAUUAAGAAGGUCUUUGUGUGGAGACAGCAGGUCGGUGUCCCUAAAAGUAGGCAUCCGUCAAAGAGUGUGUUAAUCCUCCCCUGCCGAAUACUCAGGCUUCGAAAAUGGAAGGGGUAUUUAGUACUACCGAUACUUCACUGCUUAUUUUUUAAAAUAAGCAAGUAGGAUGACGUGGAUAUCUCUGAGAAUGAGUUAAGUAAUUAAUUUUGGAGAGGUAUCUAGUGCAGAUCUCGAUUGAAGUAGUGAUUAUCCAGGUUAGUUUCCUGGGGGCUGAAGAGGGGUAAGGUUUCUGGACAACGGUGAACGUCUCAGAGUUAGUCGAAACUAACCUCAUUUUUUAAUGAGGGAAAGGGAAUACGGUUGACAUUCCGUAACUACUAAAAAUCCAGUGGUGACACUAUUGAACUAUCUUAGGGGCAUUAACACAGUUGGUAGGAGUUUCUUUCCUACAUGACCUCACUUUAUAUCCCAGAAACAGGUCAACUGGAGAAGAGUAUAUAAAAGAGGGCAAAGUCACAGUUUUGUGAGUAUUUUGGUGUAAGUGUCUCACUUUAAAGGAUAGUUCGAAGGUUUUUAGAUUAUAGUACUCGUACUGAUAACCGCAUCAGGUCCCCAAGGUGAGUAGCCUAUGGCCAUAGGGGUGGUUUUCCUCAGGGAAUUCGGCCAAUUAGACCUGUAACAUCGGGAUAAGGGUUGGCUCUACAGGAAUGUAGAACCCAUAGUUACAAGGGAAGCCCAACUGUUUAAUAAAAACGCAACCUUGUGCAUUUCGAUAUUGAAGAAAAGUACACAAGGCGAAUCCUGCUCAGUGCUGUGCCUGUUAAAGUGUUUCAACGCAAAAAAGCACCGGUAAAUAGCUAGGGUAACUAUGACUCUUAUUCAAAGUAGCAAAAUACCUCGUCACUUAAUUAGUGACGCGCAUGAACGGAGCUAUGAGGUUUCCACUGUCCCAAGGAAUAUCCCUACGAACCGACAGAAGUGGCAACGGGCACUUGAAUUCCAGCGGGGAAAGAAGACCCUGUAGAGCUUCACUGUGGUCUAAUUUUGUGUAGUUUCUAUAUGGGUGCAGUCUAGGU